UCUACUUUUUGUUCUUCUGCAAAAGGAUUAGAUCUUUGGGGUUUUGGCUUGAUUAGCAAUCUUUUCUUCAGCUUAGAAGAGGGAACAUUGGUACCUCUCCGUCAACAUGUCUGUUCUUUUGAAUUUUCUAAUUUGUCUUGGGUUAUUUUCGUAAUUUUAAUAAUUUACAGCUCAACCUUAUUGCUUACCUUUUCUGUCGUUGGCCAACGCGUGCACUCCCAAUUGAUCAAAGCUAAAAACUCAAUUCAGAACUUGUUAAAAGCAUUCACUCCCAAAAUAAAAAUAACGAACAAAGGAAAGAGGACAACAUCAAUUGUCCCAAAAUCUAGCAUAUCUCACCUAAUAAUUCAACGCAAUUUGAGCAAUCAGCUUUUUCGAUUCACGCAUACCAUAAAGAGCAGGUUUUUUAUUUUAUAUAUGCUUUUCUGUUCUACUUUUUGUUCUUCUGCAAAAAGAUAAGAUCUUUGGGGUUUUGGCUUGAUUAGCAAUCUUUUCUUCAGUUUAGUCUUAAGAUUCGUUUCAGAAAGGUGAAAAUAAACUGAGGUUGAGUUCUGAUUUGUUAUCUAUUUUUGUUAAUUUGUUUAUUUUGGAUUUCUUAUGCGAAUUCUAAGUUCUCUUUAGUUUAUUUUAUUUUGCUACUUCCCUGAUCUGUGUACUACGAGGCUUCAUCUCCGCUCUUCAUCUGGUAAGAAUUUGCAUUUUAGAGAAAAAAUCUGUUUGACUUUCCCUAUUUCAAAUUUACAUACUUGUCGAUGCUCUGAAUAAAUGAGUUUUUGCUGCUUCGUUGGAACUGAAGAAAGGGGAGAAAUUUACAACGGUUCUUACUUUGAAUUUUAGGAUUUUUUACGGGAAUUUAUUGUGAAAUUUGGUGUGGAUUUAAGAAUUUUUACGAAAAAUUUAUUCUGGAAAUUGGUAUGUCGAAAUUGUUUUAAUUAUUCUUUGUGCCGGGGGGGGGGGGGGGGGAUAGUUACGUUCUAAAGAUUCUGUGUGUUGAAGAUUUUUUGGUAUUUGCAUCGAAAUAGUGUGUUUGAAUUUCUAAUUUUUGGUACAAUUUUUUCAACUUUAGUGGUAACGCACUGCUUUGGGCAAACCUUUAUAUCUAAGUUUUCAAUAAUUAAGCUUUAUUUGGACGAAAUACAUUCUCAACAUGAUCAAACACAACGAUAUCUUAGUAUAGUGCAAGUGCUACUUAUGCUGUUUUCAAAGUAUAGUCUACAACAGGUUAGAUUUUCUUUUAUGCCUUUGUAAGAAAUAAUUAUAUUUGGAAUGCAGAGUUGCACAAAGAAAGUUAAGAGAGUGCGACACCAAGUUAUCUUUGUUUGUUGAAUGAUUAUAAGCAUAAGUAUAUUAAUCUGCAUAAUCUUUUGUUACCAAGGAAUGUCAAUUAAAAGCAUUUUGCUACCUCUUGCCUUUUCGUAUACAAGUAUGCUAAACUUUGCUGAGUAGGCUAGCUGUGAUAUAACAAUCCACCUACAGAUAUUUCUCAUUGCUUUUCAUGGGAUUUCAUCUGGCUUUAUUCUGCUCUGUGAAUAUCAGUACUUCUGUUAAUAUCAAUACUUCUAUUGACUUCCGUAUCUUCUCCUUUGCUUCUCGAUUUCUCUCGAUGGUUUUAAUUUUUUGUCAAUAAUACUUCAGGUGAAACUCACUCCAUUAUUGUACCGACUAUUCUUUUUAUUUACUUUGCUUCAUAUUUCCUCAGCAGCAUAAGAGAAGAAGUUGCAAAUAGAUCACAUCUUCAAACGAUCAACUUAGAGUAUGUUUUUUUAAUUUAUUUAUGCAUUUCUGUUCUACUUUUUGUUCUUGUGCAAAAAGAUCAGAUCUUUGUGGUUUUUGCUUGAUUAACAAUUUUUUCUUCAGUUUAGUCUUAAGAUUCAAAGGUGAAAACAAACUAAGGUUGGGUGUUGAUUUGUUCUCUAUUUUUAUUAAUUUGUUUAUUUUGGAUUUCUUAUGUGAAUUCUAAGUUCUCUUUAGUUUUUUUUAUUUUGCUGCUAUCUACUUUCUUUAAAAGAAUUGGUCUUUAGAAGACUGAACCCCAAUAGAUUGUUAUAUUUCUAUUAUUUACCACUAGAAUGAACAACAAAAUUUGUUACUUAGGGUCCGCUGACGCCUUUUCUGAUUUGAAUGAUAUAAAUGCAGUCAUCUUGUGGUAAUAAAAUUGUGAAAAAAAUAUCUUCCGUCCAAAGAAACAAACGGCCAUAUGCAGAACAUACAAACUCUGACAAGAAUGUCAGAAGACGUGAUAUCUAUGGGCAAAUAUUGUCUGAUAAAAAAGAGGCAAUGUUACUACAACACCGCACCAAAGAACUUGAGUGACAAAAAUGGAAUAGUUCCAUAAAAUCGGCAGUUGAUCCAGAUGAAAGAGUAAUGUAUCAACGUCACCCUAUGAUUCGAAAACAUAAUGCUCUUAUCAUAAGAGAGGCUUCUUCCGCUGACGAUGAAGUUGGCAGCAUCCAUGUGUUAAUACUUCCUCAAGUUCUUUUGAUAAAGGAAAAAAUGCUGCUCAUGCGUUUUCUGUAUUUGAAAGAGGAUCAACAUCGCGCACAUCUAAGGGACAACAAAAUGUGUUCCCUACUACCACAAGCAAAGGUUAGUAUUUCUUUUACGCUAGAGUAACACUAUUCAUUAGUAGAAUAUUUUUCAUGUCUUUUUUUAAAAAAUACUUAUAACAUACAGGUCAUACCUUGACCAAAGUAAUCCAUAAGAAAAAUAAUGACAAAGAUGCGGAUUAUGCACAAUUAAAACAUGUUCCAAAUUGUAAAUUUUGCAAUGCAAAAAGGUUUCAAUAUGAAUCUCCUGGAUUUUGUUAUGGCAGCGGGUGAGUUAAGUUAGUUUCGUAUGAGCUGCCUAAUGAAUUAUCAGAUUUGUAUAAAGGCAACACUGCAGAAGCUAAGCCCUUUCGAACCUACAUUAGAACAUACAAUAAUAUGUUUGCCUUUACUUCACUUGGUGUAACCAAUAAUAAAGAUUUGGCAAGGAGAUAUUAUGGUAUAUAUACGUUUCGAGUUCAGGGACAAAUGUAUCAUUUUAUACCUGAUUUACUUCCUUCUGAUAAAAAAGGAAGAAUAUGCAGUUAUACUUUUACGAUAAGGAAAAUGAAUUGGCUAAUAGAAUGGCUUGUUCAAGUAAUAUCAAUGAAUCAAUUAUAAAGAAACUUAUGCAUGUGCUCUCAAUUAAUUCAUAUUUCAUUUUUUAAGAAUCUUUGACAAAUGUUCCGAUACUAUUUGAUUAUUAUAUCGCGCUUAAAUGUGAACCAAAGUUAGAUCAACGUGUAUAUAAUCUACCAAAUACAACAUAGGUGGCUGGAAUAUGGGUACAUGAUAAUGUUGCCGAUACUAUUUCUACACCUCAUAUUCGUAUAUACACAUGUAGUGACAAGACUCAGUCAGUAAAGUAUUAUUAUGGAUGUUAUGACCCAUUACAAUACCCGUUAUUAUUUUCAUACGGUCAAAAUGGAUGGCAUUGUAGUAUUAAAAAGAUCGCACGAAGAGAUCAGCGUUAUUGUAAAUAUGAAGAAUUACCAAGUGUAAAUAACAUGUGUUCCAUUGAUGGAUUUCUUGAUAUGGAAGCUCAGACUAUGGAAAAAGUAAAACGAAAAAGAGAGACGGUUUCUUGCCGUGAGUAUUAUUGUUACAAAUUCCAGAUAAGAGAGGAUGAAAAAAUGAAGUCUUACAUUGUAGAAGAUUAUUUCAACAAUUCAUAGUAGAUGUGUUCAUAAGGCUAGAAACACAAAUAUUAGAUUUUUAUUUUUUUAAUCAAGAUUUGUUUCGAAUAGAUGUGCUACAAGGACUUAUUGAUUUUUUAAGACUUGGUGAAAAGGAAGCUUCCAAGAUUGGCAAGAAAACAUUCCUCCCUGUUACUUUUAUAGGAGGGCCAAGAGAUAUGCGUCAACGAUAUAUGGAUGCUAUUGCAUUAGUGCAACGUUUUGAAAAACCUGAUAUUCUUUUAACUAUGACAUGCAAUCCGUCUUGGCCAGAAAUAAACAACACUUGUUAUCAACGGAUGAACUCAAAAUAGACCUGAUGUAGUAUCACGAGUAUUCAGAGCAAAAGUAGAAGAAUUAAAAGCAGAUAUCUUGAAAAGAAAAAUCAUUGGAAAAGUUGUUGCUUUUAUGUAUACUAUAGAAUUUUAAAACGUGGUCUUAUGCAUGCUCAUUUUCUUAUCAUACUUAGUGAUGAAUACAAAUUAUUAA
Molecule: non-coding RNA, 4189 nt
Organism: Nicotiana tabacum (common tobacco)
Lineage: Eukaryota; Viridiplantae; Streptophyta; Magnoliopsida; Solanales; Solanaceae
Source: RefSeq, a predicted model, not a curated record